RNAcentral lists this ribosomal RNA (492 nucleotides) under uncultured bacterium. RNAcentral describes it as "partial 16S ribosomal RNA". It matches the Rfam family "Bacterial small subunit ribosomal RNA", at positions 29 to 507 of the family's 1533-position model. The record is from RNAcentral.
AGUGAACGCUGGCGGUAGGCCUAACACAUGCAAGUCGAACGGCAGCACAGUAAGAGCUUGCUCUUACGGGUGGCGCGUGGCGGACGGGUGAGGAAUACAUCGGAAUCUACUUUUUCGUGGGGGAUAACGUAGGGAAACUUACGCUAAUACCGCAUACGACCUACGGGUGAAAGCAGGGGUUCUUCGGACCUUUCGCGAUUGAAUGAGCCGAUGUAGGAUUAGCUAGUUGGCGGGGUAAAGGCCCACCAAGGCGACGAUCCGUAGCUGGUCUGAGAGGAUGAUCAGCCACACUGGAACGGAGACACGGUCCAGACUCCUACGGGAGGCAGCAGUGGGGAAUAUUGGACAAUGGGCGCAAGCCUGAUCCAGCCAUACCGCGUGAGUGAAGAAGGCCUUCGGGUUGUAAAGCCCUUUUGUUGGGAAAGAAAAGCAGCAGGUUAAUACCCCGCUGUUCUGACGGUACCCAAAGAAUAAGCACCGGCUAACUUCGGG